Molecule: non-coding RNA, 138 nt
Organism: Lupinus albus (white lupine)
Lineage: Eukaryota; Viridiplantae; Streptophyta; Magnoliopsida; Fabales; Fabaceae
Source: the annotation of a GenBank genome assembly
UACAAUAUAGAGCCAGACGCAGAUUGGCCCUCGAGUGCAAGGGCAGAAGGGAGCUUGACUGCAAGACCCACCCGUCGAGCAGGGACGAAAGUCGGCCUUAGUGAUCUGACGGUGCCGAGUGGAAGGGCUGUCGCUCAA